RNAcentral lists this ribosomal RNA (490 nucleotides) under Streptococcus mutans. RNAcentral's name for it is "bacterial SSU rRNA". It matches the Rfam family "Bacterial small subunit ribosomal RNA", at positions 830 to 1321 of the family's 1533-position model. Lineage: Bacteria; Bacillati; Bacillota; Bacilli; Lactobacillales; Streptococcaceae. The record is from RNAcentral.
UUUCCGGGGCUUAGUGCCGAAGCUAACGCAUUAAGCACUCCGCCUGGGGAGUACGGCCGCAAGGCUGAAACUCAAAGGAAUUGACGGGGGCCCGCACAAGCGGUGGAGCAUGUGGUUUAAUUCGAAGCAACGCGAAGAACCUUACCAGGUCUUGACAUCCCGAUGCUAUUCUUAGAGAUAAGAAGUUACUUCGGUACAUUGGAGACAGGUGGUGCAUGGUUGUCGUCAGCUCGUGUCGUGAGAUGUUGGGUUAAGUCCCGCAACGAGCGCAACCCUUAUUGUUAGUUGCCAUCAUUAAGUUGGGCACUCUAGCGAGACUGCCGGUAAUAAACCGGAGGAAGGUGGGGAUGACGUCAAAUCAUCAUGCCCCUUAUGACCUGGGCUACACACGUGCUACAAUGGUCGGUACAACGAGUUGCGAGCCGGUGACGGCAAGCUAAUCUCUGAAAGCCGAUCUCAGUUCGGAUUGGAGGCUGCAACUCGCCUCCAU